This is a long non-coding RNA of Oryza brachyantha (malo sina), 224 nucleotides long. RefSeq lists it as uncharacterized. NCBI's taxonomy places the organism in Eukaryota, Viridiplantae, Streptophyta, Magnoliopsida, Poales, Poaceae. The transcript is spliced from 3 exons. The record is from RefSeq and is a predicted model, not a curated record.
AGGUAUGUGCUGUUAAAGCUCCUGGCUUUGGGGAGAACAGGAAAGCAAACUUGCCGGACCUUGCUAUCCUUACUGGAGGAGAAGUCAUUACGGAAGAGCAAGGAAUGAAUCUUCAGAAGUUUGACCCUCAGAUGUUUGGUAGAUGCAACAAGGUAGCUAUGUAAGGAUGACACUGUUAUUCUUGAUGGGGCUGGAGACAACAAACCCAUUGAAGAGACGGCAGA